AUGAAAUGCGAUAAUAUCUAAGAAGCCUGUAGUACACUAAAUGACCAGUAGGGGUCAGUGUGUAGGCGCAAAUGCAGUGAUUCGUUUAUUUGUACAUGAAAUGCGAUAAUGUCUAAGAAGCCUGUAGUACACCAAAAACCGGUAGGGGUCAGUGUGUAGGUUAAAAUGAGGUGGUUUAUUGGUUUGUACAUGAUAAUGCAAAAAACGUCUAAG
Molecule: non-coding RNA, 213 nt
Organism: Pelobates cultripes (western spadefoot toad)
Lineage: Eukaryota; Metazoa; Chordata; Amphibia; Anura; Pelobatidae
Source: the annotation of a GenBank genome assembly